AGGGCACCACCAGGAGUGGAGCCUGCGGCUUAAUUUGACUCAACACGGGGAAACUCACCCGGCCCGGACACCGUAAGGAUUGACAGAUUGAUAGCUUUUUCAUGAUUCGGUGGAUGGUGGUGCAUGGCCGUUCUUAGUUCGUGGAGCGAUUUGUCUGGUUUAUUCCGAUAACGAGCGAGACUCUAGCCUACUAAAUAGUUGGCGCAUUGCUUCUGUGUGCACAACUUCUUAGAGGGAUUUUCGGUGUACAGCCGCACGAAAUUGAGCAAUAACAGGUCUGUGAUGCCCUUAGAUGUCCGGGGCUGCACGCGCGCUACACUGGCAUAAUCAGCGUGCUUGUCCUUCCCCGAAAGGGGUUGGUAAACCCUUGAAAAUGUGCCGUGAUUGGGAUCGGAAAUUGCAAUUAUUUCCCUUGAACGAGGAAUUCCAAGUAAGUGCGAGUCAUCAACUCGCGUUGAUUACGUCCCUGCCCUUUGUACACACCGCCCGUCGCUGCCCGGGACUGAGCCAUUUCGAGAA
This 519-nucleotide ribosomal RNA is filed under the name uncultured eukaryote. RNAcentral describes it as "SSU rRNA". It matches the Rfam family "Eukaryotic small subunit ribosomal RNA", at positions 1161 to 1705 of the family's 1831-position model. The record is from RNAcentral.